Molecule: ribosomal RNA, 838 nt
Filed under: uncultured Inocybe
Lineage: Eukaryota; Fungi; Basidiomycota; Agaricomycetes; Agaricales; Cortinariaceae
Description: eukaryotic LSU rRNA
Rfam family: Eukaryotic large subunit ribosomal RNA
Source: RNAcentral
GGAUUCCCCCUAGUAACUGCGAGUGAAGCGGGAAAAGCUCAAAUUUGAAAUCUGGCAGGUCUUUGAACUGAUCCGAGUUGUAAUCUAGAGAAGUGUUACCUGUGCUGGACCGUGUACAAGUCUCCUGGAAUGGAGCGUCACAGAGGGUGAGAAUCCCGUCUUUGACACGGACUGCCUGUACGUUAUGGUGCGCUCUCAAAGAGUCGAGUUGUUUGGGAAUGCAGCUCAAAAUGGGUGGUAAAUGCCAUCUAAAGCUAAAUAUUGGCGAGAGACCGAUAGCGAACAAGUACCGUGAGGGAAAGAUGAAAAGUACUUUGGAAAGAGAGUUAAACAGUACGUGAAAUUGCUGAAAGGGAAACGCUUGAAGUCAGUCGCGUUGGCUAGAAAUCAACCUUGCUUUUGCUUGGUGUACUUUCUUGUUGACGGGUCAGCAUCAAUUUUGACCGUUGGAUAAAGUCUUUGGGAAUGUGGCAUCUUAGGAUGUGUUAUAGCCCAUUGUCGCAUACAGCGGUUGGGAUUGAGGAACUCAGCACGCCCGCAAGGGACGGGUUUUUUUACCACGUUCGUGCUUAGGAUGCUGGCAUAAUGGCUUUAAUCGACCCGUCUUGAAACACGGACCAAGGAGUCUAACAUGCCUGCGAGUGUUUGGGUGGAAAACCCAUGCGCGCAAUGAAAGUGAAAGUUAAGAUCCCUUUCUUGGGGAGCAUUGACGCCCGGACCAGACCUUCUGUGACGGUUCCGCGGUAGAGCAUGUAUGUUGGGACCCGAAAGAUGGUGAACUAUGCCUGAAUAGGGUGAAGCCAGAGGAAACUCUGGUGGAGGCUCGUANCGAUUCUGA